Molecule: RNA transcript, 964 nt
Organism: Sapajus apella (tufted capuchin)
Lineage: Eukaryota; Metazoa; Chordata; Mammalia; Primates; Cebidae
Gene name: DNA-directed RNA polymerase II subunit GRINL1A pseudogene
Exons: 1
Source: RefSeq, a predicted model, not a curated record
GACUCCCGCUCGUUCCCCGGAGUCGCCGCGGCCGCGGAUCCGGCGCUAGCUGCGGGGCCUGUUGAGGAAGCCGAGUGCCUGCCGCCACGCCAGCCUCAGCCUGCGCAGAAUGUCCUCCCUGCCCCGCGGCUUCGAGCCCCAAGCACCGGAGGACUUGGGGCAGCGCAGUUUGGUGGAGCUGCGGGAGAUGUUGAAGCGCCCGGAGAGACUUUUGCGCAAGGUAAAAUUCACUCGCAAAUUGCCCGACAAAGGUGAAAAGAUUUUUGACUCUGUUGCCAAACUGAAAGCUGCCAUUGCAGAACGUGAAGAAGUUAGAAGAAAAAGUGAACUGUUUCAUCCUGUUAGUUUAGACUGUAAGCUAAGGCAAAAAGCAACUGCGGAAGUUGAUGUCGAUACAGAUAAGGCCCAGAAUUCUGACCAGAUACUUGACACUUCAUCACUAGCUCCUGGCUGUUCCUCUGUAGAUAACAUCGAGUCAUCUGAAACAACCUCACAAAACCAGGGACUUGGACAUCCUACUCAUGAAGGUGAUGAAGAAACUCCAGAGGCUGAGUACACAGUGAGUAAGGGCCCAGCUUCCAGCAACAGAGACAGAGUGCCGCCUUCAUCUGAAGCUAGUGAGCAUCAGCCGCAGCAUCGUGUUUCAAGUCAAGCAGAAGAUACUUCCAGCAGCUUUGACAACCUGUUGAUUGACAGGUUACAGGGGAUUGCCAUUGCAGACGAAGGUGAACAACAGUCAGAAGAAAACACAAGUGCUACGAACUUGACAGGCCUUUCUAAUGGGACUCAGAAGAAGCCUCAUUACAUGGAAGUGCUAGAAAUGCGAGCCGAAAACCCAGCGCCCCAGCUGCAUAAAUUUAAGACCAAUGUGUAAGUACCAUCGGAAACAGGCCUAUAACAGGAACAUAAUAUUUGUUAAACUCAAAAAGUUUCGAGAAGCUGGGUGUGAUGGUGCUUGUCUAUA